AAUGGGCGAGAGCCUGACGGAGCAACGCCGCGUGAGGGAUGAAGGCCUCUGGGCUGUAAACCUCUUUUAUCAAGGAAGAAGAUCUGACGGUACUUGAUGAAUAAGCCACGGCUAAUUCCGUGCCAGCAGCCGCGGUAAUACGGGAGUGGCAAGCGUUAUCCGGAAUUAUUGGGCGUAAAGCGUCCGCAGGCGGCCCUUCAAGUCUGCUGUUAAAAAGUGGAGCUUAACUCCAUCAUGGCAGUGGAAACUGUUGGGCUUGAGUGUGGUAGGGGCAGAGGGAAUUCCCGGUGUAGCGGUGAAAUGCGUAGAUAUCGGGAAGAACACCAGUGGCGAAGGCGCUCUGCUGGGCCAUCACUGACGCUCAUGGACGAAAGCCAGGGGAGCGAAAGGGAUU
RNAcentral lists this ribosomal RNA (394 nucleotides) under uncultured Gammaproteobacteria bacterium. RNAcentral's name for it is "bacterial SSU rRNA". It matches the Rfam family "Bacterial small subunit ribosomal RNA", at positions 370 to 779 of the family's 1533-position model. The record is from RNAcentral. Lineage: Bacteria; Pseudomonadati; Pseudomonadota; Gammaproteobacteria.